UACGGAGGUGGCAAGCGUUGCUCGGAAUCACUGGGCGUAAAGGGCGCGUAGGCGGGGAGGUAAGUCGGGCGUGAAAUCCCUCGGCCCAACCGAGGAACUGCGCCCGAGACUGCUUCUCUUGAGUCCCGGAGAGGAAGAUGGAAUUCCCGGUGUAGCGGUGAAAUGUGUAGAGAUCGGGAGGAACACCGGUGGCGAAGGCGGUCUUCUGGACGGUGACUGACGCUGAGGCGCGAAAGCGUGGGGAGCAAACGGG
Molecule: ribosomal RNA, 253 nt
Filed under: uncultured bacterium
Lineage: Bacteria
Description: partial 16S ribosomal RNA
Rfam family: Bacterial small subunit ribosomal RNA
Source: RNAcentral